Molecule: transfer RNA, 72 nt
Filed under: Hoplolatilus cuniculus (dusky tilefish)
Lineage: Eukaryota; Metazoa; Chordata; Actinopteri; Malacanthidae
Description: tRNA-Asp
Rfam family: tRNA
About the family: Transfer RNA (tRNA) molecules are approximately 80 nucleotides in length. Their secondary structure includes four short double-helical elements and three loops (D, anti-codon, and T loops).
Source: RNAcentral
AAGAUGCUAGUAUAAAGAGUAUUACACCGCCUUGUCAAGGCUAAAAUGUGGGUUUAACUCCCGCGCAUCUUA